UACAGAGGGUGCAAGCGUUAAUCGGAAUUACUGGGCGUAAAGCGCGCGUAGGUGGUUGUGUAAGUUGGAUGUGAAAGCCCGGCGUUACUAGGACGUAGCAUUCAAACUAGCACGGCUAGAGUACGGAGAGGGGUAGGAAUUCCAGGUGUAGCGGUGAAAUAGCGUAGAGAUCUGGAGGAAUACCGAUGGCGAAGGCAGCCCCCGUC
Molecule: ribosomal RNA, 206 nt
Filed under: uncultured archaeon
Lineage: Archaea
Description: partial 16S ribosomal RNA
Rfam family: Bacterial small subunit ribosomal RNA
Source: RNAcentral